AGCAGCCGCGGUAAUUCCAGCUCCAAUAGCGUAUAUUAAAGUUGUUGCAGUUAAAAAGCUCGUAGUUGAACCUCGGGAUCAAUGGAUCGGUCAUGCCAUCGGUAUGUACUGGUCUCAUUGGUUCUCACCUUCUAAGGAACCAUGAUGUCAUUCAUUUGAUGUUGUGGGGAAUUAGGACUGUUACCUUGAAAAAAUUAGAGUGUUUAAAGCAGGCUAACGCUUGAAUACAUUAGCAUGGAAUAAUGAAAUAGGACAUCGCAUUCUAUUUUGUUGGUUUCUAGGAUCGAUGUAAUGAUUAAUAGGGAUAGUUGGGGGCAUUAGUAUUCAAUUGUCAGAGGUGAAAUUCUUGGAUUUAUUGAAGACUAACUACUGCGAAAGCAUUUGCCAAGGAUGUUUUCAUUAAUCAAGAACGAAAGUUAGGGGAUCGAAGACGAUCAGAUACCGUCGUAGUCUUAACCAUAAACUAUGCCGACUAGGGAUCGGAUGAUGUUGAUUUUUUAAUGACUCAUUCGGCACCUUACG
RNAcentral lists this ribosomal RNA (522 nucleotides) under uncultured Glomeraceae. RNAcentral describes it as "SSU rRNA". It matches the Rfam family "Eukaryotic small subunit ribosomal RNA", at positions 569 to 1092 of the family's 1831-position model. Lineage: Eukaryota; Fungi; Glomeromycota; Glomeromycetes; Glomerales; Glomeraceae. The record is from RNAcentral.